Long non-coding RNA from Capsicum annuum, 5751 nucleotides. RefSeq lists it as uncharacterized. The record is from RefSeq and is a predicted model, not a curated record. Lineage: Eukaryota; Viridiplantae; Streptophyta; Magnoliopsida; Solanales; Solanaceae. The transcript is spliced from 2 exons.
AUCUAUAAUAGGUGCUCUAUUCCCACAAGCCAAGUUGCUAAAGAGAGGGUCUGAAAGAAAGCACCAAGAAUUUAUUCAGUUUGCACAAGAACGCUGCAGUAUCUGAAACAUGUCUUUAAUAAGAUAUGAGAGCCAUCUAUAUAAUGCACAUGACAGAUCCACAAGCUGGUAAAUGCCUGUGUGAGCAUGCACUACAGAUUGUUAGAAUCAAUCAUCAUGUUCAAAACCUCAAAUCAGAUUCAUGGUGGGUGCUUUAUUAGGAUAGUUGGCUACUUUUAGUCCUUUAUUAUGUGGAUAUUGUAUGGAUGUGAUUCCCUAUUUUAAUCUACUUAUAGGGAUUUAGCUUUGUUCAAUUCGUCCUCCAAAACUACAUCAAUGUUCGUCGGGUUACUAUUGCUAAAGGAGAUGCCAAAUUUUCUUAUAUUUAUACUAGAAAUGUCUGUGCAGAUUUUCUCGUUUGUCCCUUGUUGUUCUUCUUUUUAUGGACAUGUCCGUCUAUAAUUGUAUUUGAUUUUGAUCCACACAUAUUUGUUUGAGUAAAGUGUUUCUAAUCAUUAGUUAUGUUGCCAGAGUAUAAAUAUUGAAUGUGUGUUGGUACGAGAUAAAAUAUCCUCUGGUAGAAACAAAAUUUUGCAUGUUAAGAUCGUCACCAAGUAAAUAAUCAACUAAUAAUAGUGUUUGUUGAGACCUCCAUUGAUCUACUAAGAGUGAUUAAGAGUGUCGGCUGAGGUGCUCAAUGUAUAUAUAAACCCAAGUUAGUUCCUCCAGUAUGAGGAUGGGCUGAAGGCUAAAAUUGUUUCUUUUUUCUAGUUAAAAAGUAAUACCAUUGAAAUGAGAAUUCUUGUUUUCUUUACUGUGGUAUUAGUUAUUAAUUAAUUUGCCAUAGAUGUCUACUCAAUUGAGCAAACCACAAAUGUCAAUCUUUCGAAAGGAGGCGAAAGGAACUUUUCUAUUCAAAGUUCUAUAUGAGACAUUUAUAGGUGGUAAGACUCUGGAGAACCUACAUACUUCCUGAAAGUCCUUUCAGAUUCUUGUAAAAAGAAGAUGAAAAAGGCGCUAUGAAGGGAAGGUCAAGUUUAGCAGAAGAAGAAGUAUUGUUACUGCAAAAGCAGUAGAAUGUGGCCUGUGUAAGCCAGGAGAUGUUGGCAUCAAAAACUCAAGGUUUGUUGGUAAACUUCUCUACAUUAAUACCGAAACAGUUUUUUUCCCUUGCUUCUUAGUGCAUAAACCAUGCUAAGCUGAUCCAAUCAUCAGUAUUUUGCAAUGAAAUCUUUCUACCAAUUUGACCUGUUGUUCUCCACAGAGAAAAGGUACCUUGAGGAGCUAACAAAUCUGUUAAACUACCAAGUACAAGAGAUGAAAUCAAUGAGUAGUGCCUUAGAAAAGCUCAAAGGGGUUUUCAGAUUCCAGCGACUGGAGCUGCAGACAAGAAGUUGAUAGGUGAAUUUACAGAGAAAUUGGGGGUCCAAAGAUGAGCUAGAAAACAUAUUGGAGGAAUAUAGGAAGACGAAAGGAAGCAGUGGACUUGAUGAUAAGAGUUUGGUUGAAUUUAGGAUAUAUGUGAGGGAGAUAGUGGAAUAAGAGAUAGAGAAAUAUGUCGCAGAUGGAUUAGGGAGGGUGGAUUAUGCAUUGACCAAGGGAGGGUGUCGAGUGGUGAUGCUUUUAGUUUGCUAACUAACCAGAAUGUGGUUAGUACUGAUUCUAAGAAGAUACUUAACACUCAGCUUUCGAGAAACUGGCCAGUGUUUUCCCCUUAAAGGAGAUAGCAACUUUGUUCAGAUUUGUGUCCGGACAGCUAUUAUACCUGAAGUUGUCUCGUGGAACAUGUUGCUAAGGUAACACCUUUCUUCAUUGGACAGUUAUAAUGAUUCUAUUGUAUCAUGUUUUCUCUAUCUUGUGAUGGUGCUGACACUGAUUGUUUAGUACGGUGUGUUUAUUUGGGCUUCACAUAUAUAUGUGACUAUUUAUGUUAUAACACAUUAUGAGAUGAUAAAGCUUGUGCUGACUUCUUUUGAUCCAAUUUUUUUUUGUUGGAUUGCUAUUAUUUUACUUUGUAUGUGUUUUGGUGGUUUCAAUGUGAAAUUUUUUGUUAUUAGAUAAUCUUUUUUGAGGGUUUUUGUACAACUAAAAAUUAAUAAUCGGCAAUGGGUUCUCCUUUUUUUUUUUGGUAAUUAGUUGAAUUUUUUAAUUGAAAAACUGAAUCACAAGCAUUGAUGUUGCCAAUAAACGUUAGUUUUCUACUACCUUGCUAUGUCAAGAGCCAACAGUCAAUUAGUUACCAUUCAAAACCACAUACAAAUGGAACUAGUAUCAACCAGCUAAUCAGUCUAGCUAUUUAAAAACACACCUCCAUGGAAAACGUGCCUUCAAAUCAUUCACUUUGCUUAUGAAGAUGAGCAGUAGGUUACUUGACGUCGAACAAGGACUGAAAUGCAACGUCUCUUGUGUGCAAGUGCUGGUACAAUGUGGAGAGAUUGAGCAGAAGAGAGAUCAUAAUUGAGAAUUGCCAUUGCCUGAUACAAUGCGGACGGAUUAAGCAAAAGAAAGGUCAUAGUUGGAAAUUGCCAUGGAUUUGUCUUUUCGAUUUAGAGCUUUUCCUACUUUCUCAAUCUUUUCCUGGUUCUUUGAAGUCCUUGGUUUUGAUUAGCCAUCAAACUUCUUCCGACACUUUCUAUCUCGAUCAGAUUGUUUUCAAUUGCAAAUAGGUUUACGUUUUGUCUGUGUUAUUUGAUAAUUUGAGAGUAGGUACAUCCCUGCUAGCUGCUCUGUUUAGUUUUGUCAUAAAUUUUUAUUUUAAUUUUAAAUGGAGACGAGAUUAUAAUGUGGAAAAUCGAACCCUCCUCACCAUCAAGGCUAAGUAGUCGUUGCUACUAAUCUCCACUGUGUCCUGAAAUUUGUUUGUCAUGCAGGUCGUUAUGAUAGUUGCUAUUUCAAGAAUCAACCCAUGAAAUGUUUUGUUUCUUGGACAGCUACAUCACCCUUGUCUCAUUAAAUUUUCCUUUCCCCUUGUCUCAUUAAAUUUUCCUUUCCUUACUAAAAAUAUUCCCAUCAAGUCUCUGGCGAGACUGGUGGUCAGAUGUCCAAACGUACUAAGUCUGAGAUUAAAUAGAAGCAUCACUACAAAUGUUCUUCUAGGGGUUUUGGUUAAAGCUCCCCAGUGACCCAGGAUUUGAAGAGCGCGGGCACCAUUAUCUUAACAUAAGUGCUCGAGAAUCUUCCAAUGACGACUGAGGGAUAGUAUUGUAUGUGAUUGAUUGACUGAUCAGUAAAGGUUUAAGCAAUGACGAAAAUACAAAUAUAUAGGCCGAAUAUGGGUUUUAGGAUAAUAUAUAAACCUUAACAUUUUAUAAAUAGAUGAGUGUAGUAGCCCAGCGGUUAAGGGUGGACUGUGUAAGCUAAUAGGUUGCAGGUUGGAUUCCUCACUACUACUUUUGUUGUUAAAAAAUUAAUAACAUAGAACAUAGAAAAAGAAACCGGGUCACAUUGCAGGAAACAACAUUUAGAACCAACGUGCCCAAGGUGCUAUUGUGUUCUCUAGGGUGCACAUAAUUUAUAUAACAGUUUCUUAAGGUAUAUACAUGUACACAUACACAACUUUUUCCGAACUUACUGGGUGCACGUGCACCCCCACCCGAACAUGUGGGUCCGCCCCUGUGGGAGUGGGGUCCUAUGUUGUAUUUCCAACGACUUACAAUACACUAGCAAAUGCUCUACUGAAGUGUACUUUGAUUAGGAGCUUGACUGGGUUCAACUCUUGCAUAGAAUAUCCUCGCAUGUUGCCUUCUAUUUUUACACGGUCACAAUUUGAUAUCCUUAAAAUUCCAUCCUUCAGGUCUAAGUUGUGUUGAUGUUAACAGGAUGAUUCGUCGAGGCAUCAAGCUAGAGUCCAUAUGGGUUUGUUUGAUCCCUUUCUAUAUGUAUAAUCAUCCCUAUUUUUUUUUAUAAAUAAACUACAUACGUACAUGGACUGCGUACAUCUUACCCCCCCCCAGACCCCACUAAGUGGGAAUACACUGGGUUUGUUGUUGUUGUUGUUGAAACUACAUACGUACAUGGAAUGAUAGAUAAUGUUUUUUUAUAGAUUAAAGGUUCACUCAUUACAGAUGAAGUGCUCAAUGUUUUGGGUUCUAACUGUAGGAGUUGGAGGAACUAAGGAUUUUUGUGAAUCCAGGCACCCCUCGGGAUCUUUGUAUUACUGAACAAGGCUUGGUUAAUCUGUUUGUUGGUUGCCAAAGCUUAAAAGAUUGAAGUAUAUAUGCCACGAGAUUUCUAAUGACACCAAUAACUAGGCAGAAACUCGUUCCACUUUAGUUAGUUUCUUCUUGUUCUCUACUUGGGAAGACUUCGGUCAAAGUGUUGACGAUGUGAUGGUUAUGCAGCCUCUUGAUUAAGGUUUCUGAAGCAGUUGUCUAGUUAUGCAAAGGCCUUAAGUAGUUGAGUCUCCCUAGGCAUUUAACUGAUCAAGUAUUCUUAUACAUUAGGAAUGUGUGUUGAACAACUUGAGGUGCUCACCGUAGACUUAGUCAAGGUGUGCAGUGUAGUUAGGUCUAUCAGAACAUUAUCCGAUCAUCAAGUACCCCACUUUGUUGGAGAUAGUGAAAAGAAAAUUGUGUGUUGAAUGAAUGCAAGAACUUGAAAGUACUUGAUAUUAGGAAUAGCAGCUUUGAUAAUACAACACUCUUGGAGGACGUGAGCAAGUAUUAAAGGAUUUUAAGCUUCCGCAUAAUGUCGUGUUAUUUUGAUUGUAACAUUUUUAGCAAUUAGAAUUAUCUCAUACUUCAAUUGUCAAUUUUAGUAUAAUCAAAGCCCAAAUAUCUAUUACAAUAGACUAACAUAUUUUAGAUACUAUAUAUAUAUUUAUAUUACUUAAAUAGAUAUAAAAAUUUAUUUUAAGGUCAAUUGUUAUGUUUGAAUAUUUUUUUCCUUCGUGUAUAUAAUUUUAUUGAUUGGAGUCUUACUUUUCUUGGUUACUUCAUUUGAAGUCAACAUUGUUAUUUCGUCCAAUUUUUCAGUCUGGGAUGAAUCCAUUCAUGUGUUGAUUAUAUAUAAUCCAUACUAACUAAAAGAAAUAAAGAAUGACGGAAAGAUUGAAACUAAAUGUGAUAUUUGCUUAAUUAGCUAUUUAUUUGCUUAAUUUUUUUAACUUUUUAGCUAUUGUUCGACAAGAUUACCCUUUUGAAAAUCUUAAUUAUCAAUUAUUUUCUUAGACUUUUAGAUUUAUCGAUUCAUGUUGAGUUCCAACAUCGGUUACUUAUGGAUAAGAUCUAUUGCAUGAUAUUGGGCAAUCUUCAGCCCGUGAAAUUAGUUUUUUCUAUUGAGUUGUGUCUGUGCUCCAUUUUCUAUCAUGGUGGAUAGCUCAGUAUAGGAGAAAACAGGAAGGAUAAUGGUUAUGAGGAGGAGCUAGCUAAAUAUGGGACAAAACGUAGAGGACAAUGGUUAUGAGGAGCUUCUGAACUAUGAAGAAGCUAACGAAGAAAAUGUUGAUUUAGCUACAAAAGCGAAUGCUUAGUUGUCCAAAAAUGAUGUCUUUGCACUAAAGUUAAUUUUUCAAUGUAUAUUACUAUUUAUUUUAUCAUUUUGCUAUUUAUCGUCUAUGAGGAAUAACUUUUUUACCUCACAAUGUUAGGACAAAAAGAUAUACAUCAUGCUCUCUACAAACUUUACUUGUGUUGAGUGUGUUCUUAUUAUGUCUAAAUUCAAGAUAUUAACAUUGCAUUUAUUUUAAUGUACAUAUUUCUGCCAUUUACUUCA